GACGAACGCUGGCGGCGUGCUUAACACAUGCAAGUCGAGCGAGGGGCUUUGGCUUCUAGCGGCGAACGGGUGAGUAACACGUGGGCAACCUGCCUCGAGCUCUGGAAUAACCUCGGGAAACCGGGGCUAAUGCCGGAUAUGACGCUACCGGGCAUCUGGUGGUGUGGAAAGAUUUAUCGGCUCGAGAUGGGCCCGCGGCCUAUCAGCUUGUUGGUGGGGUGAUGGCCUACCAAGGCGACGACGGGUAGCCGCCCUGAGAGGGCGACCGGCCACACUGGGACUGAGACACGGCCCAGACUCCUACGGGAGGCAGCAGUGGGGAAUAUUGCGCAAUGGGCGGAAGCCUGACGCAGCGACGCCGCGUGGGGGAUGACGGCC
Molecule: ribosomal RNA, 378 nt
Filed under: Frankia sp. FE160
Lineage: Bacteria; Bacillati; Actinomycetota; Actinomycetes; Frankiales; Frankiaceae
Also listed under: 9 other names
Description: bacterial SSU rRNA
Rfam family: Bacterial small subunit ribosomal RNA
Source: RNAcentral